GUCGAACGCUGAAGCCCAGCUUGCUGGUGUGGAUGAGUGGCGAACGGGUGAGUAAUACGUGAGUAACCUGCCCUUGACUCUGGGAUAAGCCCGGGAAACUGGGUCUAAUACUGGAUGCUACAUGUCACCGCAUGGUGGUGUGUGGAAAGGGUUUACUGGUCUUGGAUGGGCUCACGGCCUAUCAGCUUGUUGGUGAGGUAAUGGCUCACCAAGGCGACGACGGGUAGCCGGCCUGAGAGGGUGACCGGCCACACUGGGACUGAGACACGGCCCAGACUCCUACGGGAGGCAGCAGUGGGGAAUAUUGCACAAUGGGCGAAAGCCUGAUGCAGCGACGCCGCGUGAGGGAUGACGGCCUUCGGGUUGUAAACCUCUUUCAGCAGGGAAGAAGCCACAAGUGACGGUACCUGCAGAAGAAGCGCCGGCUAACUACGUGCCAGCAGCCGCGGUAAUACGUAGGGCGCAAGCGUUGUCCGGAAUUAUUGGGCGUAAAGAGCUCGUAGGCGGUUUGUCGCGUCUGCUGUGAAAGCCCGGGGCUUAACCCCGGGUGUGCAGUGGGUACGGGCAGACUAGAGUGCAGUAGGGGAGACUGGAAUUCCUGGUGUAGCGGUGGAAUGCGCAGAUAUCAGGAGGAACACCGAUGGCGAAGGCAGGUCUCUGGGCUGUUACUGACGCUGAGGAGCGAAAGCAUGGGGAGCGAACAGGAUUAGAUACCCUGGUAGUCCAUGCCGUAAACGUUGGGCACUAGGUGUGGGGGACAUUCCACGUUUUCCGCGCCGUAGCUAACGCAUUAAGUGCCCCGCCUGGGGAGUACGGCCGCAAGGCUAAAAUCAAGA
Molecule: ribosomal RNA, 836 nt
Filed under: Kocuria sp. 1A-D3-126
Lineage: Bacteria; Bacillati; Actinomycetota; Actinomycetes; Micrococcales; Micrococcaceae
Description: bacterial SSU rRNA
Rfam family: Bacterial small subunit ribosomal RNA
Source: RNAcentral